RNAcentral lists this ribosomal RNA (467 nucleotides) under uncultured bacterium. RNAcentral's name for it is "partial 16S ribosomal RNA". It matches the Rfam family "Bacterial small subunit ribosomal RNA", at positions 28 to 507 of the family's 1533-position model. The record is from RNAcentral.
GACGAACGCUGGCGGCGUGCUUAACACAUGCAAGUCGAACGGAAAGGCCUCUUUCGGGGGGUACUCGAGUGGCGAACGGGUGAGUAACACGUGAGUAACCUGCCCUUGACUUUGGGAUAACUUCAGGAAACUGGGGCUAAUACCGGAUAGGAGCUCCUGCUGCAUGGUGGGGGUUGGAAAGUUUCGGCGGUUGGGGAUGGACUCGCGGCUGAUCAGCUUGUUGGUGGGGUAGUGGCUUACCAAGGCUUUGACGGGUAGCCGGCCUGGGAGGGUGACCGGCCACAUUGGGACUGGGAUACGGCCCAGACUCCUACGGGAGGCAGCAGUGGGGAAUGUUGCACAAUGGGUGGAAGCCUGAUGCAGCAACGCCGUGGGCGGGAUGACGGCCUUCGGGUUGUAAACCGCUUUCGCUCAUGACGAAGCUUUGUGUGACGGUAGUGGGUAAAGAAGCACCGGCUAACUACGUG